GAUGAAGAACGCAGCGAAAUGCGAUAAGUAAUGUGAAUUGCAGAAUUCAGUGAAUCAUCGAAUCUUUGAACGCACAUUGCGCCCUCUGGUAUUCCGGGGGGCAUGCCUGUUCGAGCGUCAUUAUAACCACUCAAGCUCUCGCUUCGUAUUGGGGCUCGCGGUUCCGCGGCCCCUAAAAUCAGUGGCGGUGCCUGUCGGCUCUACGCGUAGUAAUACUCCUCGCGAUUGAGUCCGGUAGGUCUACUUGCCAACAACCCCCAAUUGUUACAGGUUGACCUCGGAUCAGGUAGGGAUACCCGCUGAACUUAAGCAUAUCAAUAAGCGGAGGA
RNAcentral lists this unclassified non-coding RNA (329 nucleotides) under soil metagenome. Its description in RNAcentral is "partial contains 5.8S ribosomal RNA, internal transcribed spacer 2, and large subunit ribosomal RNA". The stretch from base 1 to 120 matches the Rfam family "5.8S ribosomal RNA", at positions 35 to 154 of the family's 154-position model. The record is from RNAcentral.